RNAcentral lists this ribosomal RNA (651 nucleotides) under Streptococcus intermedius. RNAcentral describes it as "bacterial SSU rRNA". It matches the Rfam family "Bacterial small subunit ribosomal RNA", at positions 13 to 639 of the family's 1533-position model. The record is from RNAcentral. Lineage: Bacteria; Bacillati; Bacillota; Bacilli; Lactobacillales; Streptococcaceae.
UUGAUCCUGGUUCAGGACGAACGCUGGCGGCGUGCCUAAUACAUGCAAGUAGAACGCACAGGAUGCACCGUAGUUUACUACACCGUAUUCUGUGAGUUGCGAACGGGUGAGUAACGCGUAGGUAACCUGCCUGGUAGCGGGGAAAACUAUUGGAAACGAUAGCUAAUACCGCAUAAGAACAUUUACUGCAUGGUAGAUGUUUAAAAGGUGCAAAUGCAUCACUACCAGAUGGACCUGCGUUGUAUUAGCUAGUAGGUGAGGUAACGGCUCACCUAGGCGACGAUACAUAGCCGACCUGAGAGGGUGAUCGGCCACACUGGGACUGAGACACGGCCCAGACUCCUACGGGAGGCAGCAGUAGGGAAUCUUCGGCAAUGGGGGGGAACCCUGACCGAGCAACGCCGCGUGAGUGAAGAAGGUUUUCGGAUCGUAAAGCUCUGUUGUUAAGGAAGAACGAGUGUGAGAAUGGAAAGUUCAUACUGUGACGGUACUUAACCAGAAAGGGACGGCUAACUACGUGCCAGCAGCCGCGGUAAUACGUAGGUCCCGAGCGUUGUCCGGAUUUAUUGGGCGUAAAGCGAGCGCAGGCGGUUAGAUAAGUCUGAAGUUAAAGGCAGUGGCUCAACCAUUGUAGGCUUUGGAAACUUUUUU